RNAcentral lists this microRNA precursor (228 nucleotides) under Sorghum bicolor (sorghum). Its description in RNAcentral is "MIR6217 microRNA precursor family". It matches the Rfam family "MIR6217 microRNA precursor family". The record is from Rfam by way of RNAcentral. Lineage: Eukaryota; Viridiplantae; Streptophyta; Magnoliopsida; Poales; Poaceae.
UGGCUACAAAAUAACUUAUUUUAUAGCCACUUUGAGUUACGAUAAUUACUAUAUUAAUUUACAAAAUUAUAGUAACUUCUUACUAAGUGGUUUACUAUAACAUUACGGUAAAUAUCCCCAUGUGUUAUAGUAACUCAACUAUCGUAAAUAUGUAUACAUAUUAUCGUAAAUUAAUAUAUAAAAUUAUCGUAAAUGGAGGUGGCUACAGAAUAACAUAUUUUGUAGCUA